GACGCGGCAAAGUGGGCAAGGUAUCUGGCAGCCGGAAACUGAGAUCGCUUCCCCAUAGACCCAUGAGCCGGGCCAGCCGUUCGCGCGAACUUGUCGCCUCUUGUCGCGUGGCGGCAAGAUCCGCUGUCGUUUCGGCGUAGAACACCUGCUCGCGGGCCUGAUCGAGCUUGUUGAGUGAACCGGUCUCUCCGAGCUUCUGGGCAAGCUUGGCGGUCGACUCCGCCGUCGACUUGGCGUCGGU
Molecule: unclassified non-coding RNA, 241 nt
Filed under: Hevea brasiliensis (rubber tree)
Lineage: Eukaryota; Viridiplantae; Streptophyta; Magnoliopsida; Malpighiales; Euphorbiaceae
Source: RNAcentral